This 345-nucleotide unclassified non-coding RNA is filed under the name uncultured fungus. RNAcentral's name for it is "sequence contains ITS2". Lineage: Eukaryota; Fungi. The record is from RNAcentral.
AACGCACAUUGCGCUUCCUGGUAUUCCGGGGAGCAUGCCCGUUUCAGAAUCAUUAAAAUCUCAUAAUACUUGCUUGUGCAUUAUUCCUGUAAUGAUACACAUGGCAAGUUUUGUGGAUUUUGGAUGAUUUGUCAUUUGACAAUCAUUUGAAAUUGAUUGUAUGUGCUCCAAUUGCGUAUGUCUUUUGGGACUCUAAAGUGCAACAGAUUAUAUCUAUUCUCUUUGGUACUUAAGGAUGUACUUUGGUGUAUGUAACCAAACGUUAUUAUACAGACUCUAUAUACCAAUGUGUAUGGUUUCUGAUAACUUGGUCUGAAAUCGGGCAAGAAAACCCGCUGAACUUAA